GUGUGUCAGCUUCGUGUGUAUACAUAUAGUCUUUCCUAUGCAUUAGGUUUUUUGUGUAAUGCAUUAACAGUUGACAGCCUAUCUUAUGAUGUGUACUCUGUUUACAUUACAGUUGUUUAUUAGUUUACUCGUUUGUUUUGCGACUGAUGAAGUGCCGGCAUAUAUAUAUUUUCAACAUUUGACAUAACCCUGUAUGUUUUGCAGGGACAACCCAGGACGUGCAUUUCUCAGCACCCAGUCAACUGCCAAAAGUGACUCAAACACAGACCACCAGUGGAACUCGGCUGUACCACUGCAGUUCUGCGGAAAUUGCCUUCACCAGCGGCUUUGCAACAGCUGUUUCGCAGCAUGUCGGAGACAAUGCCUACGAAAUUAUUGGCCCUGAUCAUGAGAGCCCUCAAGGUGCAAACAACAUCUCUGUUGCAGAAGUGAGCCCAAUACCACUUGGAAGUUACCAUGACAGAUGACACGGCAGCAAUAGAUGCAGAGACUGCCAUGUCUACUGCAGCUGCAACAGUGUACGAGGCAAGCAGCAGCACGUCAGCAUCAGCAGCAGUGUCAGAAGGAACCACACCAGGCCUGGUAGAGCAACAUGUGUGCUAUCACUGACUUUUUUUGUAGUGGAUACAACUCAUUUGCUCAACAUACAAAAGCUUUUCACCACGACUGUGAGCCAGUGUUAUUGUGCAGCAAGUGCAAGACUAAGUUAGGUGUUAUAACACAGUACAAGCAUCACUUUAAUAUAUGCAAAUGCAAACGUAUUGCAGUUGUUGCCUCCCCAGCCAGCCCACAUAGUGACAACAAUGUGGAACACAUGGUGGGACACACCUCUCUCCCAUUACAAGAUAGUAGAGACUGUCAGUGAUGUUGCUAGAUUGACUGGUCUUUGUAGGCAACUAGAAGGACAACACAGGUGUCAUAAGAUUGUUGUUGAUGUUGUUGUUGAAGAGGUAAAAAAGAAGUUUGAUGCAGCUGAAGUGCCAACUGAUAUUGAGCAAAUCAAAAGCAACCACCUGAGAAAGCAACACUAUCGAAAUUUGGGUAUCUAUGUGCCGCCAACUCUGGUAAGAAUGGCAUAGGACAGAAGUGUGAUGAAAAUCACACAGACACUGCUGUUGCAUCACUGGCCACAGUGAGCAGCGACUUGUAGGGCAAGAGAGUCAACUAAAACUAACAUUAUGAUAUAGUGUCAUGCUCCCAUGUGACCACUUUUCAAGUUAUUUUGCAAGACACAGCUCAACCUCCAGAAACGAGACUGCAACUUGUCUGUAAAAAAGCUUUCACAAAAAAUUAUUCAUAACACUAUUAACAUAGCAGUAUCUUUUUUUUUUUUGUGUCGGUUCGAGGUUCCCGGCUGUCCAUUAAUGCAAAAAUUGAGGAAAAAAAGAACAUGUGUCAUACUUACACCUUUUUAACAAUUACGAGGGGGACAGAACUUUUCUAGUCAUGCAUCUUCAUCAUACUAUCAAGUUUUUAAAUGCCUUUUAUAAUUAUUAUUACCAGAUAUAUCUGAGUGCAUUGUAUGCAUGUAGCAGGUGUAAAAUCAGGUCAGUUGGAUCAGAUGCCUUAUCUGCAAGCGAGCCCUAUAUUCAAGAAAUUUGAAUUAAAAUAGUUACGUUAGAGACGCAGUCUUAGAGCACUUUAUUGCCUGUUGUUUAAGCAUUGCUCAAUACUUUUGUGGGUGGCGAUUUCAACCCGCACAGCACUGCGCUUUGCCACAGUCACAUUUGUCUUCAAAGCGGUGUUUACCAUUUGUGUUGAUCUGUUUGUGUAUGCAUAGAGCAAGUUUUUAAUUUAUAUUUUUCUGCACUAAGCUUGUAUAAGGCAGUUACAAAAUGUGCGUCACUAUAACGAACUGUUCUGUUGAGCUUACACUUGCAAAUAAUCAUGUUCAGAUGGCCGCACUUCUAUGCGGGUGCACCGCUAGCUUUGUGUAUGUUCUCAUGUUUGUAUAAAGCUUAUAUAAGCUAGUUAGAAAAUGUAU
This is a non-coding RNA of Dermacentor andersoni, 1984 nucleotides long. Lineage: Eukaryota; Metazoa; Arthropoda; Arachnida; Ixodida; Ixodidae. The record is from RefSeq and is a predicted model, not a curated record.